GCAAAGGCUGUCACUGCCAUCCAGCAGCCAAAAUGUUCUGCCCAUGAGCAUAGCAGGACAAACACCAUUCACUGUAAACAAGGACCAGCAUUAUUUACACUGAUAAAACAGAGAUCAAAGUGCUGCCUUCCCACACACCACCAAAGCAGAGAGUAAAAAGGAUGGUUCCCUCAGCUCAGAUUCAACAAGGUCCUGCCAGAUGUGCCAAGCUGUGAGGAGUGAGGCAUCUAUGUUUUUUGGAAGUUCACAGUGGAGGUAACAAAAGAGUAAAAAACAUACUUCCCAA
Molecule: long non-coding RNA, 286 nt
Filed under: Cyanistes caeruleus (blue tit)
Lineage: Eukaryota; Metazoa; Chordata; Aves; Passeriformes; Paridae
Description: lncRNA (ENSCCEG00000015857.1)
Source: RNAcentral